This 456-nucleotide long non-coding RNA is filed under the name Setaria viridis. Its description in RNAcentral is "long non-coding RNA (SVIR_LNC000821)". Lineage: Eukaryota; Viridiplantae; Streptophyta; Magnoliopsida; Poales; Poaceae. The record is from RNAcentral.
CCAUUAGAGCCUAUUCAGAAGAACCAAGUGCUUGCUCAUAUAAAACUAACCAUCCCAAUACACGUGGAUUUGAAGUGGAAGACGAACUAAUUUCAUUGUCAACCCUCCUCCCUCCUAAUAAUAUAUGGAUGGGAGAGGAGUGUUCCCAAUCCACACGAGGCAGGACGUGGUUUCGGAUUAAGCCCAGGCGCCUAACUGACGACGAAUGGGGAAGGUAGCUUUGUGCUCACCGCGUCUGCCGACAUCUGAAGUGGCUAUUUUUGCUCCCAACAAGAUGGCUGCAGAAGGUGCAGGUCACCGCGACACCGCGUGGCGCUGCCGGCAGGCGCCGCGGUUCAUCCCCCCCACCCCGCUUGCGCCGGCCGCCGCCCAGUUCAAUGCUAGGAACAUGAGAGCGCCAUGUAGCGAAAUGAGGGCCACUUGACCGUUUCGGCUCGCCUUACCGAAACGCAGCUU